UGAUUAUUGGAGUAUAAAAAAUCUCUGAGAAGACAUUAAACAUGGUCUGUUUGAUUCCUCUACACAGUUAUGUAGCAUUUCUAAUUAAAAAGUAGAAUGAUUAUGUUUCAUGUCGUGCCAGAUUGCCUCAAAGCAGUUAGACUAAAGCCAAGAAGCAACAAGACAGGGUAAGGUCGAAGAAGAUCGGAUGAAGAUUGAGUCUCUCUUUGACUCUGAUCCUGAAUUGGGGGAUUCAUAUACUGGUCGUUUGGAUCUUGGUCCAAAGUGGGAGGAGGCAUGAACUGCCCAUCCCCAUUCUGAUUCUGAGGUGGGGGAGUCAUUGAAUCCUCGUUUGGUCCGGGUGGGGGCGGAGUUGGUGGAGCCAUAGGUUGACCAUAUUGAUUUUGAGUCGGAGGAGCCAGAGGUUGACCAUACUGAUUUUGAGUCGGUGGAGCCAUAGGUUGACCGUACUGAUACUGAGGUGCAGGAGCCAU
Long non-coding RNA from Arabidopsis thaliana (thale cress), 473 nucleotides. RefSeq annotates it as other RNA. The record is from RefSeq. Lineage: Eukaryota; Viridiplantae; Streptophyta; Magnoliopsida; Brassicales; Brassicaceae. The transcript is spliced from 2 exons.